Molecule: ribosomal RNA, 253 nt
Filed under: uncultured bacterium
Lineage: Bacteria
Description: partial 16S ribosomal RNA
Rfam family: Bacterial small subunit ribosomal RNA
Source: RNAcentral
UACGGAGGGGGCAAGCGUUAUUCGGAAUUAUUGGGCGUAAAGGGCGCGUAGGCGGCCCUGUAAGCCAAAGGUGAAAUCCCUCGGCUCAACUGAGGAACUGCCUUUGGAACUGCAAGGCUUGAGGCCGGGAGGGGGUAGCGGAAUUCCCAGUGUAGCGGUGAAAUGCGUAGAUACUGGGAGGAACACCGGUGGCGAAGGCGGCUACCUGGACCGGUUCUGACGCUGAUGCGCGAAAGCGUGGGUAGCAAACAGG